This 231-nucleotide ribosomal RNA is filed under the name uncultured bacterium. Its description in RNAcentral is "partial 16S ribosomal RNA". It matches the Rfam family "Bacterial small subunit ribosomal RNA", at positions 103 to 334 of the family's 1533-position model. The record is from RNAcentral.
CGGGUGAGUAACGCGUGGGUAACCUGCCUUAUACUGGGGGAUAACAGCCAGAAAUGACUGCUAAUACCGCAUAAGCGCACAGAACCGCAUGGUUCCGUGUGAAAAACUCCGGUGGUAUAAGAUGGACCCGCGUUGGAUUAGCUAGUUGGCAGGGCAGCGGCCUACCAAGGCGACGAUCCAUAGCCGGCCUGAGAGGGUGAACGGCCACAUUGGGACUGAGACACGGCCCAG